This 14567-nucleotide long non-coding RNA is filed under the name Pelobates cultripes (western spadefoot toad). Lineage: Eukaryota; Metazoa; Chordata; Amphibia; Anura; Pelobatidae. The record is from RNAcentral.
CCUCAGCGCCAAGGGAGUCCGGCGCUGGAGAAAGGUAAGUGCUGAAGACACACACACACUUACAGACGCAUACACACUAGCUAACAGACACACACAUUUACUGACAGAGACACAGUCAGCGACAGACAUACAUACACACUCACUUACAAAACAUACACUCUCAUUGACAAACACACACUCACUAACAGACAUCAAACAGACUCACUAACACACACACUCAGUAAGACACACACAGUAACACACACACUAACACUCACUCUAACACACACACACACACACUAACACUAACUAGCAGACACACACACUAACACUCACUAGCAGACACACACACAAUAACACUCACUAGCAGACACACACACACUAACACACACACACUCACACUAACACUCACUAGCAGACACUCACACUAACCCUCACACACACACUAACACUCACUCUCACACUAACACUAGUUUUUUUUUUUAAAUGUAAUCCCCCCAGCCUCCUUACCUUUUGGAGUGCUGGGGGGAUUCCCUGGGGUCCAGUGGUGCUGCUGACCCCGGCGGGCGGGUGGCCGGUCGGGAAGGCGGGCGCGCGAGGGAGCACUCAGUGCUUCCUCUUCAGCUCCCUCGCGCGCCGCUUAGGGAUGCCGGAGGCGGAGCCGGAAGAUGACGUCAUCUUCCGGCUCCGGUAUCAGUGCGGUGCGCGAGGGAGCUGAAGAGGAAGCACUGAGUGCUCCCUCGCGCGCCCGCCUUCCCGACCGGCCACCCAGUGACAGCAGGGCCAGCCUUGGGGGGCCCUGGGGUGGUCGGCUCCUGGGCCCCCCAGGGGAAGAGGCUGGCCCUGAGCGUACAUACCGGGUCGCAGGGGCGGCCGGGCCCCCUAGUGGGCCGGGCCCGGUCGCAGCCACGACCCCUGCGACCCUGGUAUGUACGCCACUGUCCAGGGACAUCAACACAGUGAGGUAUUUCUUUGGUUCCAUUAGUACAUCAGCACAAGGCUGUGCAGUUCUGCAAACAUGAGACAGUGCAAAUCAUUAUAUACAUUCAUCAGACCAGGCAACCUUCUUCCAUUGCUCCAUGGUCCAGUUUUGAUGCUCAAGUCCCCAUUGAAGGCACUUUCAGUCGUGGACAGGGGUCAUCAUGGAAACUCUGACUGGUCUUCAGCUAAACAGCCCCAUACGCAGCAAACUGUGAUGUACUGUGUGUUCUGACACCUUUGUAUCAUGGCCAGCACUAUGUUUUUCAGUAAUUUUAGAUACAGUGGGUCUUCUGUGUGAUCGGACCAGACUGGGCUAGCCUUCACUCCCCACAUGCAUCAAUGUGCUUUGGGCACCCAUAACCCUAACAUUGGUUCACUGGCUUCCUUGCACCACUUUUGGUAGGUACCAACCACUGCACACUGGGAACAACCCCCAAGACUUGUUGUUUUGGAGAUUUUCUGACCCAGUCGUCUAACCACUUCGUCACUUGCCCAUUUGUGCUGCUUCCAACACAGGAAAUUCAUGAACAGACUACCUAAUAUAACCCACCCCAAUAUAAUGUUAUGGCUGAUCGGUGUAUGAAUCCUGUGAAGUCUAAAGCUGGUGGUGAUUAGUGACUGUCCUUUUGACAAUGCCGAUGUUGUCUCUUUGCUGCCAUGUUUCUGAAUGUUUUGGUACCAGAUCUGAUUUACUAGCUUUCUUCUCUGGCAUCUUGCUCUAAACAGGCGUGUGAUGGGACUUACCACAUUCAAUGUGGGGUAGAACUGACAGGAACUAAAAUAAAAAAAUAAAAGUUUUCGUCAAUACCAUUCUCUACAGUUAAAGAAUAUUAACAUUCACUGAAUAAUCAAUAGUUAUGGUGUUUUAGUUAUCAACCAAACAAAAAGUUAACUUUUUAAAAUAACAACUAUACCUUACAAAUAUUGUGUAUAACACACAAAAUAAGUAUUUUUAGCCUUUCAUUAGGGGCAGCCUUGGUACUCCUGACACACCGCUUGCACAUACCUUUACUAUUUGAGGUUCUCACUCUGAACAAGGGUUGGGAUUUUGGAUCAAUUAAAUCCUGCAAAAACAAACAUAUAUAGUGACUGGGGUAUUGGGCACAGCGUUAUAAUAUUCUAUGCAUAGGAAAAUAUAAUGGUUUUCUAUUUUGGGGAAGAUUUAGUAGUAGGGAGUCUUUUUUACUGAGUUUUUGUGUUAUCCAUGAGAGAUUAUCAUGAGGUGUCAUCAAUUACCAUAUGAAGAUAUCCUUUUCAUAUUUCAUAUAUCAAGGGUCAGCAUAUGGACUCUCGGUUAACAAAACUGUUAUUAUAUACUGUAUAUCUUACUGUUUAUAUCUUACAGCUAAACGAUGAGGGGAAUGAGUUGGAGUAAACUCCUGGCUCCUAUCUGUAUUACCUGUUGUCUUGGGGGCCCUUCUUCAUGUUUUCAGUGACCCAGUCUGUGUUUAUUUAGUGGAAGAUAUGAGAGGACAAAUAGAUUAGCUUUGCUGGUGAUAAAAUAACCUUGAACCCCGAAAACCUUUAAAAUUCAUUUAUGGGUGAGGGUAGAAAUGCUUAAAAGUCUGACUUGUUUUGAUCUUAUUCUGUUGUAUAAGCUCUGCAUUGCUACAAUCACAUAAUUUAAUGAUUUAUUUUUUCAUUGUUUAUGUUGCUGGUUAUUUUAAAAUGGUUUUUGAGGGGAGCGGAGCCUGACCGCCAUGGCCCUGUGGCCGGAGCUACUUUUUAAGCUUUUUUCACAAGCAUUAUAACUCGCAUCCUACGAUUUACACUCGCCUGAAGUAAGGCAGUACCUUGUGGCUCUUCUGCCGGUCCUGUCAUGUGAGGCGGAUCCAGCGAGGGGCAAACCUGCGGCCUACCUACUGGAAAGUGGUGUGGGGGACGAGGCCGAUCCCUUCGCCUGCUGCCUAUGCUCCUGUGACUCAGAGGGUCUUCUCCUACUUUCCCCCUGCCCCGUCGGUGGGGGUUAUACCGGCACACACUCUUGGGGUUGUGAUGUUAUACUUGGCAAGCAACUUAAAAUGGCGGAUGCCAUGUGUGGGCUCGGACCCGUCACCCCCUCUAAGCUUGACCUGCUCUUUGCAGAGUUCUGGAGGAGAAUCGCUGAACGCCAGUACAGAAGCGAAUCACUAGCCCUGCAAACACACUUACCUCGGCAGCUUCCACUGUACUCCCGGCAAACGAAGGUAGAUCCAGGCCGCAGGCGGAUCCGACAAUGGCGGAGACACCCAGGCUGUCUUGAGACAGCAGGGGACAGACGCAACCUAACAUCAGGCCUGUACAAGCGAUCCUACCAAACUCCCCACUGAAAACCUGAGGUACCGAAGGGGUCUCCAGGACCAGCACACGGCCCUAACCCAUGCUUCAGCUUGCCACACCGCAGUGGGACUGUACUUCCCCAGUGUGGAAUCGGGUGAUCUGAGUUGGUGACUCUUACAAGCAAGUUCUUUUUUUUCAAAUGCUGCCUCUGCAGUGCACAGAGUUCACUUGUUAUAGAUAGCAUGUUAUACAGCUCUCUCCUGACAUGCCUAGUUUAAGUUCUACCUACACCGUGCUAUAUAUUUACCUAAUCUACUAUAUCUGAAAUGCCUAAUCUGUUUGCACACCUAUAUUACUAUUUCUAUUUGGACAUGUUCACUAACCUGCUUCUUAUAUCUUUACAACCAAACAAACAAAAAAGUGCAGCACCUCUUGACCUUCUAUGUUUAUAUAUUGUCAAUAUACAUCUUAUUUGUCAUUACAAAAGCUUGCACAUAUCACUGCAUGCCUAAAAUGAAGAUUUUUAAAAAAAAAAUGUUUUUAGACUCUUGAAGGGUGACCUGGCAAUAAAAUAUCAGAACCCCGAUCACUUUAUAUAUUUGUACGUUUCAUGAACAAAUCUUCAACAGAAAAAGUUUCAUCUCAGACGUCUGAAUUGUAAAAUUAACUUAACCGCAUUUGUGUUUUCACACUACUGAGGCAUAGAAUCUAUUCCCAUACAUCCUAUCCAGGGUAUAUGCAGUGUGGUUAUCAGCAGAUUAAGAAGAAGUUAAAUGCAGAACACAAAUAGACUGCUAACUAUACUUCCCAAAAGAAAUGCUUAAUUUGGCCUUUGGUGUCUAUCUGCAUUGAGUUGUUAUAUUGCUAUGGGUUCUGUAUCACAGUCAAGCAGACAUUCUUCACGAGCAGAGUACCAAAAUCAGAUAAUGGUUGGUGCUGUUGAAUGGAGUAUUCUUUUAUUUUAUUUUUUUUAAAUAGUAUUCAGGUAUAGCUGAAGGCAAGUGCUAAAUACACUCUUUGUUGGAUAGACAUAGAUCUCACCACUCUGUAGAUCAGAUUAAUGGAAAUAAAGUCGUCUAGGUGGGAAUAAACUGGGGGAAUAACUUUUUUUUUUUUUUUAAUUCUUUAUUUUUGUUGUGCAUUAUAUAAUAUAACAUAAAUUGGCUUGCAUUGCCCCAACAGUACAGGCAAGUACAGGAAGCGAAAAAAAAAUAUAUUUAGCGUAACAGUUGGUCAGUUGGUGUGGGGACUGCACACUUUAGAAGUAAAUAUGUAGAAAAAGGAACAUGUUAGGGAUAUCUGUCUAGGUAUGAAGAACAGGUAAUACAACUACACAAGAUUAGUCUAAGACAGAAGGAAAGGAAACCACUAGUUGCUUAUCAACUGUGCUCACUGAGCGUGAAGGCAAUACAAUAUGCAAGAUUAGCUAAAAUGCCAGGCUGGGCAGGGGUAGCUUGAAAGUAAUUUAUUCAACCAAUACCCAUAGCACACAAAGUCCGGACAGGUAUAAGAGGUAACAGAUACCUCCCUGAGUUCUGCAGUUAGCCUCAGCACUCCAUCUCCCAUGACUCUAUACCUCUUCCUUUACAAUGAGACAAACUCCAUAAGACUGCAGGGGGCUGUGAUUUUCGCUGGCACGAAUCACACAUGUCGUCUGCUGGGUUCUCCCGGGUCUCUGCCUUGGGGCAUGUUUCCUGGCAGCAGCUUUGUGUGCAGGCUGAGCAACAGGGAUCGGCAGUGCUCAUUGCUGACUCCUUCUCCUCAAACUCUGCCAGAAUCGCUGGCAUAUUGCGUUGAAUUUCUCUUGGAAGUAUUCCUCCCAACUCUGCACCGAGACUGGUGUAGAUGUCACGGAAGCGCCACUGUCUGCCAUCCUAGAUAGGCCACAAAGGAGCACGUUAAGAAGGGAUGACUCAGGAGCUGCAGACAGCUGAGUAAUUUAAUCAUAACGAAGGGUGAUCGUGUUUUUAUAGCCUGAGAUGUUUUUCACGUAGGCCCUUGUACAGAUUUAUCCUCCUGAUCAUUAUUUGGGAGAGAGACUGGCAAAUGUGACAAAAUAAAUAAUAAAACUUUAAAUUAACAAAAAUAACAUGGCACCUGUCGUGCCAAGGGUGCAUGAUUCAUUGUUGCACUAUAGAAUGUUGCUAUUUAAUGUAUUUGUGUGGUGCAUAGAUGAAUUGGGCACUUGGUAGAGGACAGAUGUCAGAAAGGUAUUAAGGUAAAUUAUAUAGGAAUGUGAUAGAUGACAGAUGGUUUACAACAUGAAAUGCUCUUUUGACCAACCAAGGUGCAAGGUGUGAAGUGGUGUCCCUUUGUUGUCUGUAAGUCUAGUUUCAAUGUAAACUAGCUAACUUCGAUCAUAUGGCCUGUAAUUUUUAAUAGAUAGUGGAUUUCCUUGAUAUGUUAACUAGCAUAUCAAAGGACCCUUGUGUCCCAGUGUCAUAUCAGUGUCAUAUCUAAAAGAAGCAUGAAUAAUAACCCAAAGAUUAAUAAUUAAGUUUAAUUUUGUGCCUAUUUAGAAUGGCACCAGCACAAUCUUCGAAACAAGCAUAAACAUGAUUAGUGCACCUUAAACCAUUUGGAAGGAAUUGUGAUGUCUGUUAUAUUAGGUCCUAGUAGGGUUUGUGACAGAAAAAUUGCAACAAAUUCAUAGGUGCAAUUAUUAUUUUGGUGGCAAGCACAUAACAGGCGAUACAACCAAAUGUUUCUAUUUGGAUUGAUGUUGAUCUGUAACACAAGGCGGUGGUCACUUAUAAUUUCUUUAGAUACAUCUUAUCUCCACCUCUAGGCCAGGCUUGGAAGCUUGCCAUGAAUCCAGAGGGUAUAUAUGCAAUGAUAUGUGAAUGUCUAUUGUAAUUGCUUGGGGCCAAAAUCUAAUUUUGAGUGAAUCACCAUCUUACCUUGCUGGAUACCUCCUGGGCAGAAGUUUUAGUUGUAAAACCUAAGUGAGUGAGUUAUUAGGAUUUCUGUUAAUUUAUCCUUUUUCUUUUUAUCUGUUGUUGGUGUAACUAAUUUGUUUGUCAUCUAUUUUUUGUAUGCACUGUGACUAUUUUAGUUCAUAUUAAAUAUUCCUUUAUUAAGUUCUGCCUUUGUCUGGUAAAGAAUAACGUUACCUGAAGAGACUAAUUCAUUAGAGUUUUGCAGUUUCAUAGAUAUUGUGCUAAAUUGUAUUGGGUGGCUUUUUAUUCUAAUUUACCUGGGGGGCCAAGGCACCCCAUUUAUAAAUUGGUGGUAGCAGCGUUAAAAUGGUAAUAUUUAUAUUAUUAUGGUCAAGUGUGGGUGGUGUUAAGGCGGAUUUUUUUAUCAUUAUUUCCAGUCUAUUGCAGACAGAUAGUGAACUUUAACCCUUUCACCACCAGCACUAUGUCACUCAUUGCUAAACACACCUCCCAACAGUCCCUGAUUCAGUGUGACCGUUAUAAUUUGGAGCUGGUGCUACUGUCCUCCUUUUCUAGGUUUGUUCUCCGGUGUCCCUCAAAGACCAAUCCUGGAGCUUGGAACCUCUGAAAUUGGGUACUAGGAAAUCAACUACUACUCUAAUUUUGGGAUGACACCCCAAAGGCCGGUCCUGGAAUUUGGAGCCUCUGAGGUUGGACAUUAGGAAUCCCACUCAUAUUGGGAUAUUGGGAUUAUACAGGGGAUGCUCUACAGGAUUCAAAUACAGUCUUUAAAUACAGAGCCAAUCAGGAUGGCUGUUUAGGCUAAACCAUCAUAUACUAAGCUAUAUGGACAGUUGGCACCACUGGUUAAUUCUUAUCCUGACUCCGUCAGUAGUUCCUGUGCUAACAUUAGUUCUAGUUAACCAGGUGAAAGGAGCAGAUUGCUUAAUUUCAUGUUUAUUAAAUGGGCGACUUGACCUGUACCUUCUACCUGAUAAGCCUGGUAAACAUAAUAGGUUAAACAUUGCAAAAGGACCUUGUCAAAAUGAUAUUGGACUAAGAUUCUGCAAGACUAUAGGGCAGUGGUAGGCAACCUUUUAGCAGCACUGUACCGAAAUAAGAUUGUGAUGUCCCGUAGCGUGCUGGUCCUAUUUAAAAAAAAAUUUGAGGUGUGUAUGUUACCGUAUUCUGCUUGUGUUAUUUCUACUGCAGUUGCUUUGUAUCGUUGUGUUUGUGCGUAUAUGAGCUAUUAUAUUUUAUAUGUUCAUGAGUAGUUUGUGGUAUUGUGUAUGAUACCUAUGAAUGUGGGCUGGGUAUGGGGGCUGCUUGUGGAAUUGUGUGUGGAUGGAUAUGUCACAUUGUGUGUUUGGUAGUGUGUGUAUGUGUGGGGCUGUUGGGGUAUUGCAUGUGAGAGCCUGUAUGUGGGGUUGUGUGCAUGUAUGUGAAUUGUUGGUGGUGUUGUGUUUGUGCGGACUGUGUGUGUGUUCGUAUUAUUUGUGUGAGGGGAGAGUUAUUCUGCAGCUCUGUGUAUAUCUAGCAGUGUGGGUGGCUUCCCCUAGGGUCCAGUGGGGACCAGGCUGACCAGGUACAGGUCAAGGACAGGAGCUGCAAUAGCAGCUGCGGGCUGCUCUACUCCAGUGCGGAUUCCUAUUCACAAGUGCUGGAUUGAAGUGAUCUGAGAUCACUUCCUCUAUGUGCUGCAAUGCAUAAAUUGAGGAUUGCCCCUCACCACCUUUUCGUAUUAGCAGAUAUCUGAAGUUUCACUGAGACUCCUGAUAGGCCAGAGCCUGUUUGGCUCCAGCAGUCUUGAGUGCCGUGCAAAGACACCUCGAGUGCAGUGCAUGGCACUAGUGCCGUAGGUUGCCUACCCCUGCUAUAGGGUGUAUCCUCGCUACAACCAUCGUUCAUGGCACCAGAAAUAUGUUUUAGCUGCAUUCAUUUAAUAGACACAUUUAGUAAAACAAAUAUAUACUUUGACCCAGCUCACAGACAUUGUGAAGUCCCACUAUGUCCCCACUCCUCUUUGUUAGUUAAAAUGCAAAGGAUAAUUGUAACAAAUGAAUUAUAAUUUUACUCUGGUUUCUGGAUGAAGUGUUGGUCACUAAUGUAGCUACACAGGACCUCGGGAAACUAAUAAUCAGAGAUUGCAAGUGACAUUAUAACCUACAUUUUGUACACCUGUGGGUUUUGUUUUUCACCGGUUUUAAUUAUGUAAUAAAUAACUUUUUUUUUUUAUUAUUUAAAAAUAGAAUCUGCCUUGUGGUGUUGAGUGACUCUUUUUUUCUCUCUCUCUAUGUUUAACCCAUUAAGGACAGCGAUUUGGCAAGUCUCACAAAAUAUUGAUCCUUACUACUUUAAACAGACAUUUGGCAGCACUCUGGGUAACAAAAGAAAAAUAAGGUUGAGGAUGUUAGGAUCAGCUCUUAAACAGAUAAGUAAUUAACCCCUUAAUGACCAAACUUCUGGAAUAAAAGGGAUUCGUGACAUGUCACACAUGUCAUGUGUCCUUAGGGGGUUAAACACACAGGUUACCUUUAUCGCAGUACAGAUCUAAAAUGAAACACAGGCUAGCAGGAAAGACAGGUUUCAGGAAUCUUGCUAGAGACCAUCAAACAUAUCAUUCCAGAUGAAAAUGUACAUUAUAAUAAUUAACUAAAGGCAGCUAUUAAUUGUUUAUUUAUUCAAACAGUAAUUAAUUUAUUUUAUUCAGCCUUUGUCGGCAUAUCCUGGCACAUAAUUCUAUUUCACUAUACCCCAUGAUUCUUCCAUUGAUCUUGCUCUACUCCUCCAUUUUAUUAUUGCUUGAUCCCAGGUUCCUACCAGAAUCCUUCUUCUUGUCACUAGUUAAGAAUAUCAUGUUGUUCCUUGUACACUUUGUUCCAGCAGUACCUACACAGAUUACGAUUAGUUAGUAGUAGUUUGUGGCUGAUGGAUACAUUUCCUUUUUAGAUUAAUCAUACAAUGAGGAAGUACAGAAAGUGGACACAACAAAGAACUACAUUGCAAUUAAAAGAAAUCAGUUGUAGCAGUAAGUGAUACUAGGUUGAUUGUCAUUUAGAGGUAUUAUUAUUAUUAUUAUUAUUAUUAUUAUUAUUAUUAUUAUUAUGUUAUUAUUUAUAUAGCGCCAACAAAUUCCACAGCUCUUUACAGUGGGUGGACAAACAGACAUGUCGUUGUAACCAGACAAGUUGGACACGCAGGAACAGAGGGGUUGAGGGACCUGCUCAGUGAGUUUACAUGCUAGAGGGAGUGGGUUAAAGUGACACAAAAAAGGUAAGGAUAGUAUUAGACUAAUGACAGUUGCAGAAGAGGAAUCAGUCGGGAGCUAUUAACAGUUUAAUUGAUACGCUUUUAUGAAGAAGUGGGUUUUUAUAUAUAACCAUCAGAGUAGCAGCCCCAAAAUGUCUGGGGGCAGGACACCCUCUUUGUAAGUAACUCUGGUGCCCCCUUAGACUGCAAAACGUCAAACCCCAAAGCAUGGUUCACAGUCACUGGGAGAUUGUAGACAGAUUUGUAUUGCCAGUGAAGCAUAUUUUUUUUUCUGCUUGUGUGUAUAAGGAUUUGGGUUUAUAUUUUGAAAUAUUUAAAAUUUUUGAACAAAAAAGAGGGUUGUAAGGUUAUCAUAGACUGUAAAAACAACCUAACCUUACCUACCGUUUGAAUGUGUAUAGUUAAGCAAUAGGCAAUUUCACACAAACAAAAUGCUAAGCAGAAACAGUUUUUAUUUUUUUUAAAAGCACAGAAAGUAUUAAAUGAAAUACUAUAUAUCACAGUUUUUCAUGUUUUUGCACUUACUUAAAACAAUGCCAUGUCCUUUAAAAUAUAUUUAGAGAUUUGUUUUGUUUUUAUCUUAAACAGUAAAGCAUAUACUUAUAUCAGCUAGGUUUAGCUAUCAUGACUAAGGAUAUCUAUAUUCUCCCAUGCAUCAAUAUCUGCCAUGAGUAAUGUUGUUAUCACACAUGAGGCCUUGUCUUCAUACAUGCCCAACCUUCGUACAUAGUUUGUUCAAAUUUUCAUUUUGUUUUCUCAUUACGCUUAUUUUUACCUGAUGACACCUCUUUUUCUGAACCUUCUUUAUUUCCUCAAAAAAAUGUAAAUAUGUAAAUAUCUCUUUAAAUAUGCACCAAAGUACUUUCCUAAUUAAUGCUGAUGGUGAAUUGAAAGACUAUCAGACCUAAUCCAAGAUUCUACUAACAUAAUGUUAUACAAAGAGCACUUACUAUCACGUUUCUACCACACUGUUGUUAAUGAACAGAAAUUAAACAAUGUCCUCAUUGGAUAACAGAGGUAAUGCAGAUAAAAUAGGGCCAGUAGGAGAGAGAGACCAGUAUAUCUGCAGAAGAGAUUGACUGCUAGCUCUAUAUUUAAAGGACCACUAUAGUGCGAGGAAAACAUACUCAUUUUCCUGGCACUAUAUUGCCCUGAGGGGCCCGGCUCUGGAAGGGGGAAAGGGGUAAAAACUUACCUUUUUCCAGCGCUGGGCGGGGAGCUCUCCUCCUCUGAUCCUCCUCCGUUCCUCCCCAUCGGCUGAAUGCGCAUGCGCGGCAAGAGCUGCGCGCGCAUUCAGCCGGUCGCAUAGGAAAGCAUUCAUAAUCCUUUCCUAUGGACGCUGGCGUGAGAAGCACGCAAGCGCCUCUAGCAGCUGUCAAUGAGACAGCCACUAGAGGCUUUGGGGGAAGGCUUAACCCAAUCAUAAACAUAGCAGUUUCUCUGAAACUGCUAUGUUUAUAAAAGAAUGGGUUAAUCCUAGCUAGACCUGGCACCCAGACCACUUCAUUAAGCUGAAGUGGUCUGGGUGCCUAGAGUGGUCCUUUAAGAUUGGUGGGGUCCUUCUGGAAGCUGAUACAUCAUGUACGUUCUUUCCUGGUUCCUUGUCGCAGUACUUACCCGAUCAACGUGCUGCUUGACCUUCCUGAGAGUGCAGUGCGUGUUGUUUGGGAAGUGCUGCCUCCUGGUUCUUUUCUGAAGCUGCCUAGUAGAAAGAGGGGCACUGCACACUCAUGGAGCCCCUUUACUUAUACAAACAUGACUCCUGUUUUGGCAUUGGCACGUCGUCUCUGCGACCCCAUUCCCACACUUUUUGGGACUGCAGGGCUAACGUGGACCCAUCAGUGUCCACCUCAUUGUUUUAUUCCCAUUGUCAUUGCCCUGUCAUGGUUUCCUCUUGGUUCCUUGUAAUAUUAUUAUUAUUGCCAUUUAUAUAGUGCCAACAGAUUCCGUAGCGCUUUAUAAUAUAUCGUAUAGUGUUAUAUGUUCCAUGGUUUUUUGGUUUUAUAAUUUUGGUUUGUUUACUAAUUCUUCUGACUUCUGUAAUCAUGACUUGGCUAGUUAUAUCCUAUUCCCAUAUUUCUAGUAACCUUAUUUUGGCUAAUUUUAAAUUAACACUUUCUCUCUUUUUUACGUUAAACCCAGCCAAUACGCUCUUUCUCUCUUCAUUUUCCUGACCUAUACUUACAAGUUGGGUAGUGUAGCCACGACACAUCUUCAUGAAACGUUUCUUAAGCCUCUAAAGCUUGCGCCUGAUACUGUGUAUGUGAGCCUCCUACGUUAGGGGGUUAAAGUAGACAUAACGGAGUUUAAUCAUUCACUGUAAAAAGUCCAGUGAGUACUGCACAAAAGUUAAAAGCACUUUGGAGCCCGUGGAGGGUGGUCCUCCAACCACGAGGAAUAGAAUAAAAGUUGAAGUAUAGGCAUCACAAUAUAGGGUGAAUGUAGAGGUAUUUUAUUGAAGGCUUGAUUAAGGCUUAAAGGCCGAAACAUUGUAUCUUUUUUGUCCUUUGAUUUUCAAUUAAAUACCUAUUCCGUCACCCUACUUUGUGACGCGUGUGGAUUUCAUCUUUUAUAAUCAUUCACUAUUUAUUCAGAAUCAAAGCAUAAGUUCCGUCGUCCUAGGGCUUCCCUGAUACCUUGAUUCUCCAAUGUGUGGGAAAUCUACACUACGUUCUACUGCAUCAUUCCCAGAACCCCCGGAAACUAAAACAUCAUAGUGACAAUGCCCAAAUGAAAACUGCUUGUAUCCAUUGACAGUGCAUGGAACCCAGACUCCUGAGUAAAAGAGAAAAACAUGGACUGAUGAGUCUUGUGUCACCCUAUUUUCUUUUGUAAUUAUUUAUAUAGCACAUAGAUUAGAAACAGCAUAUGUAAACACAUUCAAUACAAAAAGCAAGAAAACAGAACUUUACCAGAAUGGCAGAUUUAAUUGAUUAAAAGACAAGUAACAAAACAGGCGUUUUAUAAAGCUAUAGGAGAAAGAUGAUUGAAACGAAAGAAAAAGAAUAGAUAGAGGUGAGGGACUAGGGCCAUUAUACAAAAUGUAUACCAUCCAUAACAACAUUCCGAAAAACAUUCCACCUGAAGUGGGUGGCUCUUAUUUGGUUCUUUAAAUUUAAAAUAAUGCUGGGAGUUCUCCCCUGCAGGGCCGGUGCUAUCCAAGCGCUGGCCCUGUUAUGUGCCUUCACGGACCAGAGGGGAGAUCAGAGACCUCCUUCACCAGUCCACAAGCACUUUUUGGGCAGCCAGCAGGGGAGGUAGAGAGGACCCGAGAGCUCAGCCUACAGCUCCUCCGGGUUCUCCUCUCGCGAGCAUGGAGCGUUGAUGUGGUUACCAUGGCAAUGCUCUGGAUCUCGCAAGAACAAACUCUAGCCCAGAAGCUGCUAGAGUUCACUCUCACCACUUGAACCACCAGAGCUUCACCACUGGACCACCAGGAAUUGAGACCGCCCCCUCCCAGGCAAAGGUUAGAAGGGAGGGGGCACGUAAAGAUUAUUUGUUUUAAUUAAAAACACUGCCCCUCCACACAUUGCCCGCCCACACACUGUACUCCUCACACACACACUGUACCCCUCACACACAAACUGCACUCCUCAGACACUGCACUCCUCACACUCUGCACCCCUAACAUACAAAAACUGCACCCCUCACAAACACACCCACACACUGCACCAGUGGUGUAUCCUGGUUUUGUGCUGCCCUAGGCAGGACAAAAGUCAGGCGCCCCCUCCCCCCGUGCCACCCCCACCCAACCCUUCCCCCCGCCCCACCUUCUAAAUACACACACACACACAUUCACUGACAGAUACGCAUACACUAGCUAACAGAAACACUCACUCACUAACAGGCACACACACUAACAGACACACACACACACACACACUAACAGACACAUGCACACACUGACACACACACACACUAACAGACACACACACACUAACAUAUAGACACACACACACACUAACAGACACACACUAACAGACACACACUAACAGACACACACACACACNNNNNNNNNNNNNNNNNNNNNNNNNNNNNNNNNNNNNNNNNNNNNNNNNNNNNNNNNNNNNNNNNNNNNNNNNNNNNNNNNNNNNNNNNNNNNNNNNNNNGAUCAUCUUUAAGCAGUAAUUACAGCUAAAAUCACUGUAGUAUUAUAAAGUAAACUAUUAACAUUGGGAGAAAGGCUUAAAGGACCACUCUAGGCACCCAGACCAGCUUAAUGAAGUGGUCUGGGUGCCAGGUCCAGCUAGGGUUAACCCAUUUUUGAUAAACAUAGCAGUUUCAGAGAAACUGCUAUGUUUAUGAAUGGGUUAAGCCUUCCCCUAUUUCCUCUAGUGGCUGUCUUAUUGACAGCCACUAGAGGCGCUUGCGUGCUUCUCACUGUGAUUUUCACAGUGAGAGCACGCCAGCGUCCAUAGGAAAGCAUUAUGAAUGCUUUCCUAUGUGAUUGGCUGAAUGCGCGCGCAGCUCUUGCUGCGCGUGCGCAUUCAGCCGACGGGGAGGAGAAGAGGAGGAUCGGAGGAGGAGAGCUCCCCGCCCAGCGCUGGAAAAAGGUAAGUUUUUACCCCUUUCCCCUUUCCAGAGCCGGCGGGAGGGGGACCCUGAGAGUGGGGGCACCAGGGUACUAUAGUGCCAGGAAAACGAGUAUGUUUUCCUGAGACUAUAGUGGUCCUUAGCGACCAAUACAGAAUACCCAGACCGCUAUCAGCUCAAUGAAGUUGUCUGGGUACGCCCUCUAGUUUUAACUUUGUGUAAAGGAAAAUAUAGCAGUUUCAGAGAACUGCUAUGUUUCACUGAGGGUUAAUCCAGCCUCUAGUGGCUGUCUCACUGACAGCCGCUAGAGGAGCACACUGAACGUCCAUAGGAAAGCAUUGAGUAAUGCUUUCCUAUGGGCGGUUUGAAUGCGUGCGUGGUCACAUUCGGAGCUGAGAGGCUGAGGGAUCCUCAGCGCCAAGGGAGUCCGGCGCUGGAGAAAGGUAAGUGCUGAAGACACACACACUUACAGACGCAUACACACUAGCUAACAGACACACACAUUUACUGACAGAGACACAGUCAGCGACAGACAUACAUACACACUUACAAAACAUACACUCUCAUUGACAAACACACACUCACUAACAGACAUCAAACAGACUCACUAACACACACACUCAGUAAGACACACACAGUAACACACACACUAACACUCACUCUAAC